RNAcentral lists this ribosomal RNA (346 nucleotides) under Pogonognathellus heterochros. RNAcentral's name for it is "SSU rRNA". It matches the Rfam family "Eukaryotic small subunit ribosomal RNA", at positions 594 to 945 of the family's 1831-position model. Lineage: Eukaryota; Metazoa; Arthropoda; Collembola; Entomobryomorpha; Tomoceridae. The record is from RNAcentral.
AUAGCGUAUAUUAAAGUUGUUGCGGUUAAAAAGCUCGUAGUUGGAUCUCGGUUUCGGACGGGCGGUGCACCUUGCGGUGUUUACUGUCUGUCCGGACGAUUUUGUUGGUUCGUGUAUAGUUCUCUUAACCGGGUGCUAUACGUGGCCAGCACGUUACUUUGAAAAAAUUGGAGUGCUCAAAGCAGGCGCUACAGCCUGAACAUUAGUGCAUGGAAUAAUGGAAUAGGAUCUCGGUUCUAUUUCGUUGGCUUUCGGAGUCGAGGUAAUGAUUAAUAGGAACAGACGGGGGCAUUCGUACUGCGACGUUAGAGGUGAAAUUCUUGGAUUUACGGAAGACUAACUUCUG